RNAcentral lists this long non-coding RNA (2671 nucleotides) under Oncorhynchus mykiss (rainbow trout). Its description in RNAcentral is "lncRNA (ENSOMYG00000076401.1)". Lineage: Eukaryota; Metazoa; Chordata; Actinopteri; Salmoniformes; Salmonidae. The record is from RNAcentral.
AUGUCGAGCAAAGCCAUAAUUUGGCAUGAAGCCAUGAACAUAAUUAAAAGUAAGAUUCUGGUGAAGACUCAACGAUUAGGUGGAGUCAAUAUUGGUUACAUCAUUGUUUGGAAGAUUUCUGGAAGAGAAACGGCAAAUAUUAGCCCAGUGAAAUGGAAGGAGCUUAUGUAACACAGACUCCACACUCAUAAAGGUGAAAUGACCCACUAAUGUGAAUGAUGUUGUUCUUCCAAGUUAACAUGAACAAGGAGUGGUCAGUUCUGGAAGGAAAAUCCUGAUAUUUCUGCUACUGUUGGAGAUUAAGAGGGCAGAUCAACAUUGUUACAUAAUCCAACGCGUUGACACACACGUUUCCUUAGACGUGUGCUGUUGAGCUUAUAAACACUUUUCCUCCUCUCUCUUUCCAAUGUGUUGGCUGGAUGAGCAAAUACCUUCUGACAGGUCACAUAGUUUUUAUACUAUUGUGGUGGGGAGGAGGGUUGGGCUUGAGUGUGUUAGAGCGCAAGCCACAGAGAGUGAUGCAUUUUGACAGCUGUGUGUGUGUGUUGGGCAAGUCUGCAGAUCUGGUUGGGUGAGACUGGGCUAUAUAAUAGGGCGGAGCAUAAAGCCGAAGCUUUCUCCGUAGUUCGAGUCACACUGUUGGGUACCCAAACUACCAGGUGCUCUUCGGUUGUCUGGACGCUAGAUGGUUGGAAUUUAGACUGGCCAGUUGGAGUAGCAGCUACAGGAUCUUUAACACAGAGCCUGUGGAAGGUGUGGAGGAUCCAACAGUUUUUUUGUUUUGUUUUACGACUGCAUUCCGGACCGCUUUUUUCCCAGGAGCAAGUCGGAAACCUGAAAUUUCUAGUCUCCAGACCAGAGCUGCAUCAACACACCACACAAAGAAACCAACCCCAGACCCACUACAGACAUGAUCAUCAGACUGGGCAGACUGACACCUGGAUACUUCCGCCUCCUACAGAGACAGGUGGCGGGUGAGGUGCAGACCCAGCCACAGGACCGCGUGGUCAACCAGAUAGCCAUGAUGCUGGCCAUCAUGGGCCUAAGCCUGUCCUACUACAGUGCCAAACGGAUGACCGAGAAGGUCCAGAGGCUCCAGAAGAGAAGAGAUCCCCAUACACCCUGAACCUGGAGAGAAGACGAACCAACGCAGAGAUGUUGCGGAGAGGAGACAUGGAGAUGUCGGUGUCCAGAACAACACCUUUUCACAACCAAUCAGUCAUAGUCACGUCGUUCACACACUGGAGUUUUACUGGGAUCACUCUCAAUGCGAGGAGAGUUCGGGGGCUGCUGCUUUUAAGGGUAUCUUGUUAAUUUUUCACACCAAUUUGGGGUGUGUGUGUGUGUGUGUGUGUGAAGAAAGGCCCACGGUGGGGUUCGUGUGGUCCUGAUAAGGUCGGGGGGGGGGGGGGGGGUAAAAAGUACUACCAGCUGUCUAUGGUAAGGCUGGGCCUGAGCUUUAGUUGUUAAGGUACAUGCGUGCAAGAUGCCAUCAAUACUGUUCUGCGCUAAAAAGGGAUAGAAAAAUGCCAAACGAAUUAUUCUAAUGUACUGUGAAACUUGCCAGUGCUCCAAGCAUAUGACUGUGUGUAAAAUAACUGAACAGUAAUAAUUUUUUAAGGGAAGGCUAUCUGCAUUUGAGAUGUAUCUGGUAAUGACUGAAGGCAGGCCCAUAGUGUGAGGAGAAAGCAACCCUCUUAGGUUUUUGUCAUUUCUUAUAGUUAAAUAAAAGUGAGCCAUGUGAAGUAGAUGUGGAGGAGGAGUCUCAAACUGGUCAAUAAUUCCACACAUGUUUAAUAUCUGUUAAUGUCAGACACAAAAAAAAAACAGUGAAAGUGAAAUGCAGUAUUUGAACGUUUUAGGAACUUGCUUAUCCAAAUCUAUGAAAAGGCACUUUAUCCAAAUAACAACUUUGUUUUUCCCACAAUGUUUCCAGUUUAAUCGAUUUGAGUCUUGAUAAAGAACGUUGGCUUUCUUUAAAGAACUCGAUCUGCAAUAGCUACUAGGUGUUACCACAGAAUAUUCUAACUUCAGUAAACGUUGUAUGGGUCUACAUAAAACUUAAGAUUUCAUUAAUACUGUCACUUUUAGUUUUUUAAAGAAUCAUAACAUGAAUGUAUAUUUCUGUGAUGUUUAGAAAAAUCAAAUAAAGCUGUGACUUGAAUGAUAAGAACAGGGGCAGUUUAGUAAUGAUUUUUAAGGUGUUUGGGAAUUCUGGAAAAACUGAUGUGAACAAGCUCCAUUUUAUCACAAUAUUUAUCUUUCGCUAAGGGAAACUUCUCUUAAUCUCUAAAUUUCUCUGUGAAAUGACGCUGUUGCCACACCAGUUCAGCUCAAUAGCUGUUUGGUUGGAUUUGGCAUAUUAGACUGUGUCAUAGCACCACUUCCUGUAUCAUAGGGUGUCUGCAGGAGCAUGAUGGCUGCACAGAACAGGAAGUGUUCAGGCCUCCAAACAGCCGUUAUCUUUUUCAUAACUGGGGCAUCUGUAUCUGUCUGUAGUCUCUGUACCAGUCUGCCCUCAAAUCCGUAGCCCCUGCUGCACCACUUUAACAGUGGUGGCAAAAUCACAGGGCAAUGUUUUAAUCUAUACUGAACAAUUUCAACAAUUUCAAAUAUUUACCUAGUUACAGUUCAUAUAAUGAAAUCGGUCAUUUGAAAUAAAUUCAUGAAU